GAGUUUGAUCGUGGCUCAGGAUGAACGCUGGCGGCACGUCUGACACAUGCAAGUCGAGCGGUAAGCCACCUUCGGGUGGCCUAGAGUGGCGAACGGCUGAGUAACACGUAGGAACCUACCCCUCAGCUCGGGAUAACAGUCCGAAAGGACUGCUAAUACCGGAUAAUACAGCAAUGUUGAAAGGUUUACUGCUGAGGGAGGGGCCUGCGGGCUAUUAGCUAGUUGGUGAGGUAAUGGCUCACCAAGGCGAUGAUGGCUAGCUGGUCUGAGAGGAUGAUCAGCCAGACUGGGACUGAGACACGGCCCAGACUCCUACGGGAGGCAGCAGUUCAGAAUCUUGCACAAUGGGCGAAAGCCUGAUGCAGCGAUGCCGCGUGGGUGAAGAAGG
Molecule: ribosomal RNA, 388 nt
Filed under: uncultured Gammaproteobacteria bacterium
Lineage: Bacteria; Pseudomonadati; Pseudomonadota; Gammaproteobacteria
Description: bacterial SSU rRNA
Rfam family: Bacterial small subunit ribosomal RNA
Source: RNAcentral